This 1592-nucleotide long non-coding RNA is filed under the name Equus caballus (horse). RNAcentral describes it as "lncRNA (ENSECAG00000049644.1)". Lineage: Eukaryota; Metazoa; Chordata; Mammalia; Perissodactyla; Equidae. The record is from RNAcentral.
UGACAGUUGGAUUGGGACAUGCAAACUGUUUGAAGGUUAUUGAAGGUACCUAGCACACGAUAGUUUUUGGCUCCCAGGGAGAGGUUGGAUGAGGGUCAGGACAUAUCACAUAAGGCCUGUCAAUCAAAAAUUUGCAAGAUUUUUGUUUAAUAUCUAGAGAAAUUGGCCCUUAUGAGAUAAAGAAUAAUUGGUCACUUGAUUCCCCCUUAGAGACACUUCAUUAAUUCCCUCAAUUUAUUUGUUUCCCUUUUGUUUUUUAGCUAAACCAGCGCAACUAUUUUUCUAAUAUUCUUUAUAUUCAAAGUAUGUAAAUUGAGAAAUUAAGGGAGAACCUAUAAGAAACAUUUUGUAAGGGCAGUCUCCUGCUCUUGCUCAGUAGAAUUUAAUAUAGUUUUAUUGUCAACUCUAACUUUACUCUUUUUCUAUGUGAAAUAUCACAUAUUUAUUCUCCACUUUGUGCUGUUCACCAGAAAGGAUCUCUCUCUUGCAUCUCUCCUAGCUACAUUCCACUUUUGCACUUACCUGAAUCUUUUGCAUAUGGUAGUUGGAAGCUAAGGGAAGAGGGGUCAUUCUCUCAAGUUCUGGUUAAGCUGCGGUCUUAGGGAGGCGCUGUAAACACGAGUCCCCGAUGUGAGGCUUUCACAAACAUACAUGCCCCUCCUCCAAAGGUAAUGCUGGGCUUCGAACCGAUUCUGCCCUUCUCAAGGCACAGGUUUUUUUUUUCCUCUUCCUUCCUCUCUUGCAACCACAGUGGAUUCCCAUCUGUGCCCUCAAGCAACAGGUUUUGAUGAUCUUGCACUUUAAGGCUUUAUUCCACAUGGGAGUAAGAGAAGAUGACACUGAGUGGAUAUUAGGCAGUAGAUGCUGUUUCACUUCCCAGACAGAACCAUGAGAGAAGCUUUCCGAGGGUUUUGUCCAGUCUUCCCUGUGAGCACCUGGUGGGGUUCUUGAGGAAGAGGUUGCAAAAGGAUACAAAAUUACAUUUGCCUGUAUCCCCACGAGGCUUCCAGCUCUCAUGUUCACCCAUACUCAGACUUUAGCAAUUAUUUAAAAUUUUCUGCUUGCUGCUUCUUACCAGCUUAUAUUGCCACUACGUAUCUUAUGUCUCAGCCAUCUUCAGUACAUCAUAUGGUCACACUCUGCUUGGAGAAACAGAAACAAGAUGAACAAGGAGAUGAACAGCAAAAACAGUUCUUCCAUGAACCUGACAUCAUAACCUACAAGUUUCACAAUGAAACAAGAACAGCUUAAAACUGAUGGUGACUGAGUGGUGCUAAUGCCAAAUUUUUGGUCAAUAUCUCAUAUUCAAGAGGAUAAUCAGAGGAGAGAAUUGUUAAAUUAACUAAACAAGGAAACCAUUAAACUGAGUGACUGCAAUGCCUUAGUGGUCCAUGUAAGCAAACCAAAAUCUAAGCCUGUAAAUGCAUCAGUGUUACAAAAUCAAAACCUAAGGACAACUAAUCACAAAAAACCAACUAAGCUUUACACUACAGCCAAUAAAAUAAUUUCUUUGUUUGCACUCCUUCUCUAUAUAAGUUAUUCCCCUAGCUUAUGUUGGUAGAAUGCUUCUAACCACUUUUGAUUUUCUGCUG